RNAcentral lists this transfer RNA (65 nucleotides) under Mytilus californianus (California mussel). Its description in RNAcentral is "tRNA-Met". Lineage: Eukaryota; Metazoa; Mollusca; Bivalvia; Mytilida; Mytilidae. The record is from RNAcentral.
GAUAAAGUAGUCUAAGUAAGGACAGAAAACCUAUGAUUUUCAAGUGUUGUAAUUAACCUAUAUUU